Molecule: long non-coding RNA, 4478 nt
Filed under: Triticum aestivum (bread wheat)
Lineage: Eukaryota; Viridiplantae; Streptophyta; Magnoliopsida; Poales; Poaceae
Description: long non-coding RNA (TAES_LNC025808)
Source: RNAcentral
GUGAAUAACAUCAGGAGGCACAGGAACUUAAGUGUUGGAGCUAACUGGGAUAUAUAUUACAUAGUGGCCUUGUCCCUUCCGGACUUGGGCAAUCACGGGCGUGUGCUCUGUUUUUCUGGCCGGUAGAUCCAGUAGUAAAUAAUCCUUGUUUGGUGCGUCCUCCAUGAAUCAAUCAAGGUGCUUUAAUCCUUAUGGCAGAAAGAAGUCCUCCCAGAGCAACCUAACUGGCACUGUAGCAAUUACUUGGUUCUUGCACAAAUGCGUCAGACAAUACAAACUGCACAAAAUUCUCUUCAAGAAUCAAGGAUAUAUCUACUAAAAGGCAAAUAAAUUAAGAGCCAAUACAAAAACUUCAAUGCUAGUACUUUACCCUGAUCAAUCCUUUCUUAUCACCAUGCUUUUUAUGCUUCCGCAGCCACAUGUAAUCUCCAUUGACAAUCAUCGCUCAUCGGCAUGAACUGGCACUUCUCUGUGCGCCAAUGCAUCCUCUGGUUGGUGCCAGCGCUCGCCGGCCAACCUGCAACUGUUACCAGAUAGAUCAAUCAGAAGAACAUAAGCAUCAUAGACGAUAGUCGUCAACCCAUCUAUUUGCAAGUCCUAGCAUUUUGUACAACACCUAAAGAUAAAGGUACUAAAAUCAUUUAUUAGAUACACAAUAUUUAGAUAUAUAAACUAAAUUAUUAUAUCAGUCUCUUGAACCAAUCGAAAGGAAACAUGCAAAUUUCGGUUUACUUAAGAAGAAUGUAAAUUUUGUCAUACUAAAUGCUAAGAAAAAUGAUCCAAAUUCAGAGGUACAUCAAAUCACAAUUAUAGUAUUGAAAGAAAACACACAAAAGGCAUUUUUAUCUCUUCCCAAAAUAGGAUAAAAAAAUUAAUGAACAAUUAGACUUUUCAAUGGUUCAUAGAUGAAUACACUGUACCACAAAGAGUCUUAAAUUGUAUAUUGUGUUACCUAACUUAUUUAGAUAGGCAAAUAAUCCAAAAAUAUAACAAAAAAGUAUUGCUACAGAAAAAUGUAACAUGAAACAUGAAAUGUAAGAACCAAAUAGAGGAACAAACAUUUUGUGGCCACUUGAUUGUAAAAGGAAUGGACACUAAAGUUACUAUAAAUUUUUAACUUUUCUAUAAGGUGAGGUAGUAACAAGCCAAAAAAAUAUGACAUCUCAUUUCUUUUGGCGCAUUCACCUCAAUUAUUUUCUUAUUCUUGUUUUUUGCAUAAAAUAUAAGGCAUGUGUGUAGACAGAUGACUGAACUAUUGGACUCUAUGUGCAUCCUUUUUGUGAGCUUAUACGACUAAAAAUCAGGAAGAGAUUGCAAACUUGGAAAUCAUAGAAACUUACAUUUAGUUUUGUAUUUAGUUAUUAAUCGAUAUGAUUUUCCAUUUAUCCCACUACCAAGACCCAAGCUUGCAUUACUCAUUACUCAGUGCCCUGCAUAUUUUGUGAAAGGCUCUUAGUUGAGAUAUUCCAUGUCCAAAAAAUACAAUUUAUUUAAUGCGUUCGUAAUUCUGAAUCAGGUACAAAAAGAAGCAGACAAAUAUUACUUAUGUCUUAUAAGUUUGAUACAUGUGCCACCUAAUAAAUUUUCCCAAAAAGGAAAGCUGAGAGGUCCUAUGCAGCACCAUCAUGUGUUUCUUCUUUCUAGUUUAGAGACAACCUAAGAUUUCACUACUGAUAAGGAGAAUCUCCUUACUAAGGAAAUUACCAGGUCAUACCAUGGGCAUAAGAAUUGUUCUUCGGAAUUUCAUCACCAUAUUAAAAAAGUAUUGAAGGAGAGGUCUGUAAAAAAAUCAUCCAUUAAUGUGUGCGAGCACUACUAAAACAACUAUAGCACACAAUAACCAACAAUCUAUAUAGAAUCCGGUCACUUUGAAAAGUUAAAAUGAUUUAUAUAAUAUAUUAGAGAAUUGUGCCAGCUAGACCACUGAUCAUGAAGUAAAAUAUUUAGAGAAAUAUCUUUACAAAAGACAACUAUUAUUGGUACAAAAUUUGGAAGGGUAGUCACUGAAACGAAAUUCCUUUCUAACUGAAUACAACACUGAUCAAAUUAUACAAUUGACAGUAACUUGUGUAAGAUAAUAUUACGUACGACAAAAUCACUGGAUAGAGGACUCCCUCGGUAUUAAUGUAUUAAUCGCCGCUCAAGAACACAUAAUUGAAGUACUGUAACGAAUGGCCCAAAUGAAAUUUUAUAUAUGUCAGCAAAACAAACUACAAAAGGGCAUGUUAUUUAAUACACCACGGAAUAAUUUGAGCAAAUUUGAUCGUAGCAGGUCUGAACAUGCAAGAUUAGCAUCACAAAUCAUAGCUUCUAUAACAUCAGAGUCCAUAGCAUCAGAGGCCGUACCUUUCGCAGUGUGUGAGUUUCUCAUUCCAGCACACAUACAUUGUCAUGUACCAGCUGUUUGUAGAGCUCAUCCCAAUGAGAAUUUGUAUCUUCUUUAGUUAUUAUGUCUCUUAACAGUUAGGAUAGCAUUAUAACUAAGUUGAUGAGUUGUUAGGUUUUUGGUUGGUGAUGUCUCUUGUUAGAUUUAACCUGGAAUAAAAAAAUUAUAAUCUAGGAGUUACUCAUCUGUUGGCUUUACUCAACAACUUUUUAAUUAGAAGGAGCUCCUAACAUAGAUCAUCUACAAACAUAAAUUCUAUUCCAUGGCAUAUGGAUUUGCUAUUAACGUAUUGAUUUGUAUCUAUAUGUUUACACCAAAUCAAAAUCAAAUGGAAGCAUCGUACAUCAUUAUUCCAAGGAAAUAAGCUAAGAGCAUGCAUCUUCAUUCUUCAAUAGAGUUCUGCUCGGUGUUCAGUGCAUAUAAUAAUUUAGUGCUACAAUUGGUAUUCCUCCAGACUAUGCUUUUUCAUACAGCAAAUUAGCACCUCAUCUCCAUAGGAGCUGUGAAAUUUUUACUUUGGUCUCUCUUUCCCCUGUUUGCAAAUCAAUUUAUGUUUCACCCCAUCUUCAUAGUAGAAGUAAAGGGACACGAUUAGCUGAUGAUAUUCAAAUCCACAUAAACUCUGUUUGCACCUACAGAUGACAACGACUACUCUGUAUGCACCUAUAGAUAACAUCAACUACUCUGUAUGCACCUGAUAUUAACUUUCCUAUAAAAUAAAUAUACGCAUAUAACAAUACUUACAUCCUUUUAAUAUGAAAUACACAAAAAUCAAAUAUCAGACAGUUGUUGAUGUUACUAUGACAACACGACAAAAAGAAUCCACAUUAAUAUUGUUGACCUUCUCACCCCGUAGUCUAAAAUUAAAAUUUUCUAUCCUGUGUAUUCCAAGAGUUGUAAAUAUUAGGAAUCACGGUAUUUGUACUCAUUUAAUUCCUUUUGAUGUACUCGCUCAAUCUGAAUCACGGUAUCUUCAAUCUUUGAGAUCCCAUCAGUUGUCUAUUUUUCCUCAGACGGUUUGCUAACUUGCAUUGACCAGUUUAUCACGGCAUAUGAUGCUCCAAUGAAUACUAACCUGUCUUACGUCCUAGCUUGCUUUUAUGCAUGCAUCCAUGACGUACAUGAUGUAUAUGCUAUGCCAUGGACCUGAGCAUGUAGUCUGCGAUCGAAGCAGCUUCUUGGAUGCCACGCAUACUGAGCUACAUGCGAUGGGGUUACUCCCGCUUCUCCGGCAUCUCUUGUGCAAGGGCUGCCUAUACUCCCAUGAGAGAUGUGGCCGGGAAACCAGGCUAGGGCGUUAGACGACUUGUGAAUACCGAGGUAGUCGUAUAUAGUCAAGAGAUAUAUUAAUUAUAAGUACACCUGAUGGGCAUAGUUGUGCUCCGGUCCGAUCUCCAUAAGGCAUACAGAAAUUGUACUUCAAAAGAUUGAGGGUUUGAUCCAAAUCGUGAUUAGGAUGAAUUCGAGGACAACCUGAUCAAAAUAGAGAUGCAAAACAAUUAAAUCUGAAUCCAAAUUAAUAUUUUAGAUGACAAAUCAGCAAAAAAAUUGCAAAAUAGAUUGAGGAACGAACCUGAUCCAGAAAUUGUACUUCAAAAGAUUGAGGAUUUGAUCCAAAUCGUGAUUAGGGUGAAUUCGAGGACAACCUGAUCAAAAUAGAGAUGCAAAAUUAUUAAAUCUAAAUCCAAAUUAAUAUUCUGGAUGACAAAUCAGCAAAAAAAUGCAAAAUAGAUUGAGGAACGAACCUGAUCUAGAUCAGGAACGCUAGAUCCAUGGCCCCAUAUGCUUUUUAGAUCCAUCGCCGCGCUUGCUCUGUAUUAGUUUGGUUUCUAGGGUAGAGAGAUUUGAGAGAGAAAGAUUGGAGAGGAAGGGACCGUGGGCAAGAUAUUUGGUUUUCCAUGGGGGAAAGAGAUGGACGGGUGGAAUACUUUCCAUCGUGGGGAGAGGGAAAAAAGGAAGGGACGGUAGAAUACUUUUCAUAUUGAGAUUAGAAUCUGAUUAUUCUAUCAUCUAUUGUUUUUUCUUUUGUUAGCUAAUCUAAACCGUUAUAACUCAGCCCCACAAGAUAGACGGCUCCUAAUUUCUGAUUAAC